UCUGGCUCAAUGAUGAGUAACUUUUUGCCGUUUACCCAACAGAAUGUCUGUGGUGAAACUUUUCUAUUCUGAAAAGCCUGA
Non-coding RNA from Pelobates cultripes (western spadefoot toad), 81 nucleotides. Lineage: Eukaryota; Metazoa; Chordata; Amphibia; Anura; Pelobatidae. The record is from the annotation of a GenBank genome assembly.